RNAcentral lists this small RNA (29 nucleotides) under Bombyx mori (domestic silkworm). Its description in RNAcentral is "ovarian small RNA-32453". The record is from RNAcentral. Lineage: Eukaryota; Metazoa; Arthropoda; Insecta; Lepidoptera; Bombycidae.
UGAUAGUCAGCAGCGAGCACCUCCGCUUC